Molecule: ribosomal RNA, 440 nt
Filed under: uncultured bacterium
Lineage: Bacteria
Description: partial 16S ribosomal RNA
Rfam family: Bacterial small subunit ribosomal RNA
Source: RNAcentral
CCUACGGGAGGCAGCAGUAGGGAAUAUUGCUCAAUGGGGGAAACCCUGAAGCAGCAACGCCGCGUGGAGGAUGAAGGUUUUCGGAUUGUAAACUCCUUUUGUUAGAGAAGAUAAUGACGGUAUCUAACGAAUAAGCACCGGCUAACUCCGUGCCAGCAGCCGCGGUAAUACGGAGGGUACAAGCGUUACUCGGAAUCACUGGGCGGAAAGAGCGCGUAGGCGGGAUAGCAAGUCAGAUGUGAAAUCCUAUGGCUUAACCAUAGAACUGCAUUUGAAACUGUUAUUCUAGAGUAUGGGAGAGGUAGGUGGAAUUCUUGGUGUAGGGGUAAAAUCCGUAGAGAUCAAGAGGAAUACGCAUUGCGAAGGCGACCUGCUAGAACAUAACUGACGCUGAUGCGCGAAAGCGUGGGGAGCAAACAGGAUUAGAUACCCUAGUAGUC